Lontra canadensis (Northern American river otter) is the source of this 332-nucleotide long non-coding RNA. RefSeq lists it as uncharacterized. The record is from RefSeq and is a predicted model, not a curated record. The transcript has 3 exons. Lineage: Eukaryota; Metazoa; Chordata; Mammalia; Carnivora; Mustelidae.
GGCUAAUGUUGUCAUUUGCUUUCACUGGGGCCAAAGAGAAUGGUGCACCCCCCUCUGGCUGUCACUACUCCCUGUUGUGGGAGGCAAUCCCUGCCUCUUGAGAAUAGUUUGUCAGUCCCUUCAGCACCGUGAUUGUACUUGAAGUUACAUCCGGCCGUGUGACUUGCUCCAGGCAAUAGAAUGGAAGCAGAAGCAACAAGUGCCGCUUUGGGAUGGCCUUGAAGAGAAGGAUUUGUCAUGCUCCCCCACCCCCACCAGUUUUACUGGAGACAUGAGGGGCCCAUAAUGAACCUUUUCUGUCCUUAAGCCAUGAAGAUUUCAGCACUUGUUCC